RNAcentral lists this ribosomal RNA (253 nucleotides) under uncultured bacterium. RNAcentral's name for it is "partial 16S ribosomal RNA". It matches the Rfam family "Bacterial small subunit ribosomal RNA", at positions 524 to 776 of the family's 1533-position model. The record is from RNAcentral.
UACGGAGGGUGCAAGCGUUAAUCGGAAUUACUGGGCGUAAAGCGCACGCAGGCGGUCUGUCAAGUCGGAUGUGAAAUCCCCGGGCUCAACCUGGGAACUGCAUUCGAAACUGGCAGGCUAGAGUCUUGUAGAGGGGGGUAGAAUUCCAGGUGUAGCGGUGAAAUGCGUAGAGAUCUGGAGGAAUACCGGUGGCGAAGGCGGCCUCCUGGACAAAGACUGACGCUCAGGUGCGAAAGCGUGGGGAGCAAACAGG